UACGGAGGGGGCUAGCGUUGUUCGGAAUUACUGGGCGUAAAGCGCACGUAGGCGGCUUUGUAAGUUAGAGGUGAAAGCCCAGGGCUUAACCCUGGAAUUGCCUUUAAGACUGCAUCGCUAGAAUCGUGGAGAGGUGAGUGGAAUUCCGAGUGUAGAGGUGAAAUUCGUAGAUAUUCGGAAGAACACCAGUGGCGAAGGCGACUCACUGGACACGAUUGACGCUGAGGUGGCGAA
This 234-nucleotide ribosomal RNA is filed under the name uncultured bacterium. Its description in RNAcentral is "partial 16S ribosomal RNA". It matches the Rfam family "Bacterial small subunit ribosomal RNA", at positions 524 to 757 of the family's 1533-position model. The record is from RNAcentral.